AAUUUCAUGUAAUAGCUAUUUUUUUGAGUUAGAAGUCUUGUUUUGAUGAUAAUUUUCUAAAUACUUAGGGUUUUUUAGGUAUAAAAAUACUUAGCAUCUGUGCUUGACAGUAUAUGUUAAACAGGCAUUUAAAGUUUUUUUUUUUUUUUUUUUUUUUUUGUAAUACCAGGGAUCAAACUCACAACCUCUUCUUUUGAAACAUAUUUUCUCCGUCUAUAUGAGAAUCCCUAUUGGUCUGCAAGUUGGUGCAAAACUCCAGUUCUUCAUGGUAACUUCUCAGUGGAGAGAAAAAGAUAAAUUACCUAACGGUGGUUUAAACAUACGGCCUUAUCUUGGGAGCAGUCAUAAGAUUUUACUGAAAAUGUGACAUGAGGCCCUGCCUUCUAUGGGGAAGCUAUGGAAGACUCAAGCAUGUGUAUAACAGUUUAUAAUUUUUCAAGCUCCUUAGCAUCCGAAGCAGAACCUGAGAACUACCGGUAGAGCGACCUCAGGACAUCACACAGUCUCUUCAUGGGAGUGCUGCUAGGGAAAUGAGCAAUAUUCCAAGAGCAGUAUGAUUUGGACCCCUGCUUCACUUGUAGAGCCAUCUGCUACGGUCCUUUCUACUAUGCAUGUGGAAGGAUAAUUUCACAGGGUGCGGUUUCACAAGCAUGAAGAAAACUAUAAAACUAUAAAAGGAUCUGGAAAAGUUAAACUACCUUGUUAUAAAAAAGAAGUAUAUCUUUGAAGAAUUUUGUAAACUUGAAGAUCUCUUGCUAUGAGUAAAUUACGUAAGAUAGCAUUAUUUUGGGGGUUCUAGAACUCCACAAAGGACUUCAGGAGUAAAAAUAAUUUAAAAUGGUUAUUAUGAACUACACCUGGUUUAAAGUGAUUUGAGCUAAUGAUUUUUAACUUUACAGUGGUGCAGAACUGAUACACAUCCAGCAGAGAAAAGUACUUGGAGUUCGGAAUUUCGAUAUUUCAAGCUAACAGUAGAUAAUUGGGAUACUGGUAACCACACUAAUCAGGCCUGCAGUCACAAGUGUGAACAAUCAAUAAAUGAGUGUGAGUAUGUACUGUGUUUCUGAGCUGUAAUGUUUGGUAGGUUCGUGUAUUAAAUAUAUUUUUGACUUAA
This is a long non-coding RNA of Cavia porcellus (domestic guinea pig), 1114 nucleotides long. RefSeq lists it as uncharacterized. The transcript has 5 exons. The record is from RefSeq and is a predicted model, not a curated record. NCBI's taxonomy places the organism in Eukaryota, Metazoa, Chordata, Mammalia, Rodentia, Caviidae.